AUGGUGUCCUCACGCGUCCUCCUCCUCGUCGUCGCGAUCCUCCUGUGCAUGGCUUCUGUCCAGGCAAGUGGCCAAAGCCUGACGCCUCCAGCGGAAGGGGCACCAGCACCGGCACCAUCUGCCUGCGGUGGCGAUCACUGCACAUUGAGCGACAUAGUCAAGCUCGAAGUGUGCCUCGACCUCCAGCUGGGAAGGAUGAGCCCGGGCGCCAAGGACCGGUGCUGUCGGCGUAUACGUGCGAUGCCGAACGCCGCCGGCUGUCUGAGAGUCGCGUUCAUCCGGGCCGAUCUUCGUUUCCACGCCAAUAUCGACAACCGCGUCAAUGCCGUGCUCACUGCCUGCGGCACGGCUACGGUCUUAGACCGCGCUUGUCUUGUACCCUUAUUUGGGAGACGUCACCUCGGCCUCGCUGGUGACCCUCAGUGA
RNAcentral lists this ribosomal RNA (426 nucleotides) under Triticum aestivum (bread wheat). Its description in RNAcentral is "partial small subunit ribosomal RNA". Lineage: Eukaryota; Viridiplantae; Streptophyta; Magnoliopsida; Poales; Poaceae. The record is from RNAcentral.